GAUUAGCGGCAAACGGGUGAGUAACGCGUAGAUAACCUACCCUUAACACAAGGAUAACCCUCCGAAAGGUGGAUUAAUACUUGAUAGUCCUAUUUUACUUCGGUGUUUAUAGGUAAAGCUCCGGCGGUUAAGGAAGGGUCUGCGUCCUAUCAGCUAGUUGGUAAGGUAAUGGCUUACCAAGGCAAAGACGGGUAGCUGGUGUGAGAGCAUGUACAGCCACAAUGGGACUGAGACACGGCCCAUACUCCUACGGGAGGCAGCAAUCAGGAAUCUUGCGCAAUGGGGGCAACCCUGACGCAGCGACGCCGCGUGAAGGAUGAAGGUCUUCGGAUCGUAAACUUCUUUUAUGUGGGACGAAUGAAUGACGGUACCACAUGAAUAAGGACCUGCUAACUACCUGCCAGAAGCAUCGGUGAUGCGUAGGGUCCGAACAUUACCCGGUCUUACUGGGCGUAAAGAGAUGCGUAGGCGUUUUAGUCAGUCUAUAGCGAAAGACCAAUGCUCAACAUUGGAAGCGCUAUGGAAACAGCUAAAAUUGAGUAAUGUAGGGGUGAGUGGAAUUCUAAGUGGAGCAGUGAAAUGCGUUGAUAUUUAGAGGAACACCAGAGGCGAAGGCGGCUCACUGGACAUUUACUGACGCUAAGAGCUCGAAAGCGUGUGGAGCAAAACGGAUUAGAUACCCGUGUAGUCCACGCCGUAAACGAUGGAUGCUAGCUGUUUGGUACAACUGUACUUAACCUUCGGGUUUUUUAUGGGAGUACUGAGUGGCGCAGCUAACGCGUUAAGCAUCCCGCCUGUGAAGUACGGCCGCAAGGCUAAAACAUAAAUGAAUUGGCGGGGAACCGCACAAGCGGAGGAGCGUGUGGUUUAAUUCGAUGGUAAACGAAGAACCUUACCAGGACUUGACAUAUACCUGCAUACUUUUGGAAACAUUAGUAGCCUUCGAGGGUGGUAUACAGGUGCUGCAUGGCCGUCGUCAGCUCGUGUUGUGAAACGUAGGGUUAAGUCCCGUAACGAGCGCAACCCCUAUCCCGUGUUACAAGUGUCUCGGGAAACUGCAGUGGUAAAACGCUGAGGAAGGUGGGGACGACGUCUGGUCCUCAUGGCCCUUAUGUCCUGGGCUACACACGCGCUACAAUGGUCGGUACAACGGGAAGCCAAACCGCAAGGUGGAGCUAAUCCCAUAAAACCGAUCUCAGUCCGGAUUGCAGGCUGAAACUCGCCUGCAUGAAGUUGGAUUCGCUAGUAAUCGCAGAUCAGCAAGCUGCGGUGAAUACGUUCUCGGUUCUUGCACACACCGCCCGUCACGGCAUGGAAGUAGGUAAUACCCGAAGGCG
RNAcentral lists this ribosomal RNA (1337 nucleotides) under uncultured bacterium. RNAcentral's name for it is "16S ribosomal RNA". It matches the Rfam family "Bacterial small subunit ribosomal RNA", at positions 90 to 1429 of the family's 1533-position model. The record is from RNAcentral.